Molecule: long non-coding RNA, 357 nt
Filed under: Lynx pardinus (Iberian lynx)
Lineage: Eukaryota; Metazoa; Chordata; Mammalia; Carnivora; Felidae
Source: RNAcentral
GAAAGUGAUCUGAUCCACGCGGCCUACAUUUAACCUCUGUUUGGGACAUGGAGAUGAGCGUCCUCUCUUUCCUUACAAGCUGAGUCACCAGCCUCUUCAGGCCCGGGCCCUGCACCCCCUCUCAUGGUUGUCCUGCGUCUUGCCUGAGCCAGAAGCCGCAGACCUCAUCUGGGACCUACACCUGCCAGACAGGGGGUCUGAAAAAUCCACACAUUCUGCGCUGAAGCCAUGCCCGCCCCAAGCCAGAUUCUUAGCCUCCACAGAAAGCUCUGGAACUCCAUUCUCCCGAAACACUGACCUAAUCCUUGCAUUGAGACUGCUAUUUACAUUAAAAUUGGUCACAUAAUGAAAAAAAAA